This 59-nucleotide transfer RNA is filed under the name Loxodonta africana (African savanna elephant). It matches the Rfam family "tRNA". From Rfam's summary of the family: Transfer RNA (tRNA) molecules are approximately 80 nucleotides in length. Their secondary structure includes four short double-helical elements and three loops (D, anti-codon, and T loops). Further hydrogen bonds mediate the characteristic L-shaped molecular structure. tRNAs have two regions of fundamental functional importance: the anti-codon, which is responsible for specific mRNA codon recognition, and the 3' end, to which the tRNAs corresponding amino acid is attached (by aminoacyl-tRNA synthetases). tRNAs cope with the degeneracy of the genetic code in two manners: having more than one tRNA (with a specific anti-codon) for a particular amino acid; and 'wobble' base-pairing, i.e. permitting non-standard base-pairing at the 3rd anti-codon position. The record is from Rfam by way of RNAcentral. Lineage: Eukaryota; Metazoa; Chordata; Mammalia; Proboscidea; Elephantidae.
GGUGGUUAAGCACUUGACUUCUAACCAAAAGGUUGGUGGUUCAAACCCACUAGCCGCCU